Molecule: long non-coding RNA, 4677 nt
Filed under: Equus caballus (horse)
Lineage: Eukaryota; Metazoa; Chordata; Mammalia; Perissodactyla; Equidae
Description: lncRNA (ENSECAG00000044556.1)
Source: RNAcentral
CCCGGCUUCCUGAAAAUCGAGACCAAGCCCGUUUGGUACAACCACAACGCGGAGCUCUCCAGCGCUGGGAAGAGGCCCAAGGAGGCCCCGAGGUUCGCAGCCCCAGGCCCCCAGCCCACCCGGGACACCUCUCCCUGAGGAUCCAGGGCCCAAACCAAACAGCAAGUACAAUUCUGAGAACUGUGGAACUUCCUCCUUUCAUUUUAAGCUUCUCCUGCCUUUGCUUGAUGGAAUCGUGUCACGGCCCCUCCCUGCGUCUCUCCACUGUGGACCCAAAGCUGCGGAGAGCUCCUUCUUUCUCAGACAUGCAUAGGUGCGUGCAUUGUGUAGAGAAGGAGUUGGACUUUGGGACCAGACAGAUCUGUCACUUACUGGCCAUAGGAGUCCUGCUCUGAGAGCCUCAGCUUCGUCAUCCGAAACAUGGGCAUGAUAACAUUGCCUGUGAUCGUCAUGAAGAGGCCCGGGGACGCUGGAGGAUGGUCCUGCAGCCUAGUCGCUUUGUGAGCCCAGCCUGGGCACAGCGCGGCAGCGUGUCUGACACAGCAGCAAGACCACCAGUGCCACCGAGGACCCACAGUGAAGUCAGCUUCCUCAAAGUCUGCUUCAAACAUUUAUAAGACGAAAAAACAAAGAUUUCCCUCUGGGGUGGCUUUCAAAACUAGUUUUGAUCAUUUGAAGAGUAAAUCCUUAGCUACUUAGAAAGCUUGACAAUCUAAAAUGAUUCAUUUGUCAAAUAUUUAGGUUAGUUGAGAUUUAGCAUUUACUAGUAUGUAAAGGAGGCUUGACUGGAAACUGAUCAGACAGAUUUUGUGUGUAAUGUUCCAAUGUACUUCAGCCGCUUUCGUCACUGAUGGGCACACCCCUCAACAUAGCACCCACCCUCCUGUGUGUGCGCACGUGUGUGUGCACGUGCUUGUCAGGGACGCACGUGUGAGUGCAUCCUCCUCAUUGGGGUUUAUUGUAUUUUCUUUGUGUUGCUAAUGCUUUUGGCCUCUGGGGGUGCUCUAUAUAUACAGAUGCAGAAUUUGAGAAACACAGGAUUUUCAACCUGAAAGGAACCUUAGGCAUCUUCUAAUCCACUUGUCUCAUUUUGCACAUACGGCAAUUAAUGUCCAAAGAGGUGAAGGGAUUUGCUGGGGUCGGGGUGGGGGGUGUCAGAUGUAGAACCCAGGUCUCUCUCUUUCUCUCUCUCUCUCUCACAUGCACACACUCACUCAUGCUGUAGUAAGAGAGGGCUAUUUCCUCAUUGUUCACAGCAUCUCUUUGUUUCUCUCUCUCUCUCCCUUGUGCUUCUUUUUUUGCCAUCAGUCUGUCUGUCUUUCCUCCUCCCCUCGCUGCUCUGCGUUCCUGGGCCGGGAGCUGAGGUGGCAUAGGCAGUGGAGAUGCUGGCUCCCAGGAAGGCUGCCGCAGCAGCUGGCAAGGCCAGUGCCCACCAGUAGUGGGGAAGUGGAGGCACAGCGUGUUCUCUGCUUCCCUGUCAGCUGUGAGCCUAGGGCAGCAAUGCCUCAGUCCUGGGGGAAGAGGCACAGAGGAAGGAGGGUGGGUUGGCCCCGCUGUUAUGCAAUCUGUUUUCAGCCUGAUCCUCUUUCCUUGGCUCCCUCCCCUGGGAGCUGACGUUCUCUUAGGGAGAGGCAACCGGUUACCUCCUGGCCAUUCCUCCUUCUUGAGUCCUUUUCUCUAGCCUGAGCCACGUGACCUCCAGUUCAGAUACCCCUUUCUGGAAGAUGUAUGUGCUCCUUGACUCAUGUCCGAGAGACACGGGAGAGUGCUCCCUUCUCAUCCUGAUAUCCUGAUGCUGAAGUCUGGCUCCCAAUUCUAAGCAGACGGUAGAAAUGGCUGUUUGGCUGUGUCUCAUUUUCCAGAAAGGCAUGGAAUCUCAGAUUUGGAAUGGAGUUUAGAGGUCAUCUCUCUUACUCCCACAGCUGUUGGAGGAAUCCAUCCUCUGGCAUCCCUCAAGUUUGUCCAGUCUGCCUAACCCCCUCCAGUGAUGGGCCAGUUCCUUUAAACAGUCCUGCUAUCAUGCAUUUCUCUUAAGGCGCAGCCUUGUCUCCUUGCUUUUCCCACCAAAGGUCCUGCAGUAGGUGGCUUCCCCUGUUUUCUCAACUUCUUUGUUUCUCCUUUGUUCUAUAAUACGCUUAAAUCUGGCUUUUGCCUCUCCCACUUUACUACCAAAAUUAUCCUUAGUAAAGUCAUCAGUGGUUUCCUUCGCCAAAUCCAGCAGCUAUUUCUUUAGUCUUUGUUUAAAUGCUAUUAACCACUUCGUUGAAAUAUCUUCUUUCUCUUUCGAGAAAUGCAUUGUUCUCUCUUUGUUCUCCCACUACUUCCCACUAGCCCUCUCGACUGGGUCCUUUCUCUGUCCAGUCUUUAAAUACUGGGCUUACCCCAGUCUCACUCUUGAAUUUUUCUUCUUUUUAUGCUUCACACUCUCCUAGGGUCACCACAUUCUUGCCCAGGAGCCUAAUCCCCCAUCAAAUGCUGGUGGUCCCAAUUGAACGUGUCCAGUCCCCUCUGCCUUCCUACGCUCUGCCACAUCUUCGCCUCCUCCCCACCAGGCCCUCAUUCUGUCCUACUUACACUAUUGCCGUAGUCUUCCAGCUGGUCUCUUUGCCCUUGACCUCACCAUCUCUGACCCACAUGCACUUAACCCUGCACACAGGAUGAAUUUUCUAAAACUUAGGUCUGGUCAUGCCAACUCCCUCCUUCAAAGCCUUCCCAUUGCCUCCAGGAUAGAACCCAAUCUUGUUGGCCUGGGAUUCCAGGAUCCUCAUACCCUAUCCUGUUUCCUCUGCUUCCCCAUCUAAGUCUGUCUUCUGGCACCUCUUCUUCCCCCUGUCCUGGGUCCCCGGCCCUAACUGGUACCAGUCUCAUCCUCGCUCUCCCAGCUCCCACUAAGUUCUACAGUCCCACGAUCUCGCUCACUCAGGGCCUGCUCCCCACUCUGGAAUCUUCGCUCCUUUCUUUUCCUAGCUAACUGCUACUCAGUUUUCACAUCUCCCCUUGAGCAUCACUGCUUCAGGGAAGUCUUAGUUGCCUGACUCCACAGACUAAGGUAGGUGACCCAUUGCACACUCCCAAGAUACUCAGUCCUUUUUAUAGCCAUCUGCAAGACUGUCAUGAUUUAAUUAGUUACUGGUUGAUUCCUCCCGCACCCCCAGCCUCAGUAGACUGUACAUUCCUCCAGGUCACGACGACUGUGCCUUGUUGUUCCCUCUCCACCCCAGUGCCUGUGUACACCAUAAGCUCUUGUCUGAUUGUGUGAUCGGAGAGCUUUGAAUAUGCCCACCUGAGUAGGAUCUUGAUCCUAUAACCGGGCAAUAGAGGCACAAGGUUAUCCCCACUACGACAGUGACCUGAUGAAAAUUUGGGUUUCAGGAAGAUUGGCUGCAGAGCUUUACACAGGACAAGGCGGCAGCAGCAGCAGGGACUGGGGCCUGGCAGCGGUACAGGCAUGAGGUGCGGGUCUGAGAUGAGUGACUUUCCUCUCCCAGCCCAUAUGCUUCCGAUGGAGAGUCCAGGAGAUAGAGGCAAUUUGCGCACGAUUGAAAAUGAACAGAAUCCAGGAGUAGGCUUAUGAUAAGCUCAGCACACGAUUGUGGAAUGACCUUACCUUAUUGUGGGAAGGUUUUCUCUCACUUUCUUCUCUUUCUGAAUCUGUUCUUAUUUCAUUCCUUGGUCCCAUCGCCUCCUCUUCCAAGAAUGGAAUCCCGAAGAAGAUGCUCUCUGUUUGGAAGAAUGUUCCUAUCUGAUUGGCUGCUAAUUUGUUAAUAUUUUUGUUAUUCUCCACAAUACAUGCACAACUUUCAGGUAUCGCAUCUGGAGGCAUGAACCCCAGAGAAGAAUAAAAUUGUAGUUGGAAGAAUCCAAAAGUGGCUGGGGUUCUGAGGUUCAGACCAGCUAAACUGAUAGCUUUUCUCAACUCUAAUUUCUGUGAUAGGGACAAGGAGCGCCUGUCACAGCUUUCUCACCCUGGGCCCGUGAUCUCCAGCCCAGUAACAAGUUAGGACACUGCUUUUCUGCUCUUUGUUAUACUGGGUUCUGCCCCAUCUCUCUAAAGCAAUCUUAUAAAUCAUUGAUGAGAAUAUUUCUAUUUUUAUCUUAAACAUCCUAGCCAAGAAAGCCUUAUGAAUACUUUCCAAAUCAAGUGCUGGCAUUGCACGAUGCUUCCUCAUUGAUGGCAGCCCCAUUUCAUUGUUUUUUUGUCACUUCUUGGCUCUGCCAUCCAUGUCAGCAAUGCCAAGUCUCAGCUUGGGGGUGGGGGCUGACCCUGAUGCAGAAGCUUCUGUGGUGUCCCUUUCAUGGGCAGGAUCUCCUUUCCUUCCUUCUUCCCCGUGGCUGCCCCCCAAAACCUCCAUCUUAAACGUUUUUUUUUCUUGGUGAGGAAGAUUGACCAUGAGCUAACAUCUGUGCCAGUCUUCCUCUAUUUUGUAUGUGGGAUGCUACCAUAGCAUGGUUGCAUGAGCAGUGUGUAGGUCCACACCUGGGAUCUGAACUGGUGAACUCCCAGCCACUGAAGUGGAGUGUGUGAACUUAACCACUAUGCCACUAGCCCAGCCACACCAUCUUAAACUUUUCAACCUUGAAAUGAAGUUAUGACUGAUAUUUAUUCUCAGUAAGGUUUUCUCCUGUUGUCCAUCCUGCCUCUGAACCACCACCCCUCCAUCCUGAUCAUCAUCCAUG